AAAAGUAGGCUCAACACCAGCAGAUAUAUAAACGCUGCCAACCCGUUUUAUAUCGUGGAGGUAAAACAGGCAGAGAGACAGCGACACACCCUCCUGGAGCUCCGGGACUCCGCCGGAGCAGAGGGCGAGACCGGCUGAACUCCACCCGACCGUGCGGAGGGUUUGUCCAGGCAGCAGAGCCAGGGCCGGUGGUCAAGGUGGGGCGUGUUUCUGACUGAAUAUGUGCACCUCAAACAGACGAGGGAAGGAGAAGGAGUCGCUAUCUGUGCCUUUUUUGUUUUUAAAUCGAGGCUGUCCUUCAACCCAACAACUCUCACGCUCUCUGGCUGACUCCCAGCUCCCAGCUCCCCCUCACCCCUGGCCCCUAAUGGCUGACACACAGCAGUUCUUCACUGGCAAGCUUUAUGUUCCUGUACACAUGCUAAAGCUGCCAGCUGAAGAACUGCUCUGGUCUGCCCUGCCCCGGAUGAAUCAAGAAGAGGAAGCGGACGGGGGUUGCUGGGAAGAGGACAGAGGAAGGCGGUGUUUCUGUUUCACACGCUCAGCAGGCAGACUGGACGUAAUAACUAUAGAGAUUUUAUCCAACAUGUUUAUAAUCCUGUGUUUAUCACAUAUGUUUUAUUUAAAUUUACGUAAUAUAGAAUGUUUAUUUUCCAUAUUUUUCCUAACCAACAGUGUUUAUAGUCUGUUAUAUUUUUACAUUUAAUUCUGUAUUGUCUGUAUUUUACAUAAGACAAUACAGAAUUAUUCACUUUUAGUCUUUUUUUUCAAAAACCUGCCCAUAUUGUGUAUGAUGUACGUGUUUUUAAAUAAAGGAAUAUUUUCUCAGA
Molecule: long non-coding RNA, 830 nt
Organism: Gymnodraco acuticeps
Lineage: Eukaryota; Metazoa; Chordata; Actinopteri; Perciformes; Bathydraconidae
Exons: 2
Source: RefSeq, a predicted model, not a curated record